RNAcentral lists this ribosomal RNA (116 nucleotides) under Candidatus Pacearchaeota archaeon. Lineage: Archaea; Nanobdellati. The record is from RNAcentral.
GAAGACGACCAUAGUGGCGGGGAAACACCUGUUCUCAUUCCGAACACAGAAGUUAAGCCUGUUGCGUCUGCGUGUUGUAGUCUCCGUCAAGAGGCAAAGCACGGAUGUUGUCUUCG